Molecule: ribosomal RNA, 232 nt
Filed under: uncultured bacterium
Lineage: Bacteria
Description: partial 16S ribosomal RNA
Rfam family: Bacterial small subunit ribosomal RNA
Source: RNAcentral
UACGUAGGGUGCAAGCGUUAAUCGGAAUUACUGGGCGUAAAGCGUGCGCAGGCGGUUUUGUAAGUCUGUCGUGAAAUCCCCGGGCUCAACCUGGGAAUUGCGAUGGAGACUGCAAGGCUAGAAUCUGGCAGAGGGGGGGGUAGAAUUCCACGUGUAGCAGUGAAAUGCGUAGAGAUGUGGAGGAACACCGAUGGCGAAGGCAGCCCCCUGGGUCAAGAUUGACGCUCAUGCA